This 1722-nucleotide ribosomal RNA is filed under the name human gut metagenome. RNAcentral's name for it is "bacterial LSU rRNA". It matches the Rfam family "Bacterial large subunit ribosomal RNA", at positions 1127 to 2925 of the family's 2925-position model. The record is from RNAcentral.
AGAGUGCGUAAUAGCUCACUAGUCGAGUGAUGUUGCGCCGAAGAUUUAACGGGGCUAAGCAUAUAACCGAAGCUUAGGCAGUAUGUAAGUACUGGGUAGGGGAGCGUUCUGUGCGGGGUGAAGUCGUACCGGAAGGAGCGGUGGACUGCACAGAAGUGAGAAUGCCGGAAUGAGUAGCGAGAAUUGCGUGAGAAUCGUAAUGGCCGAAUAUCUAAGGUUUCCAGGGGUAGGUUCGUCCGCCCUGGGUAAGCCGGGAGCUAAGGCGAGGCCGAAAGGCGUAGUCGAUGCACAUACGGUGGAAAUUCCGUAGCCGCUAAAACUUUAAGUAUACUGACACAACAUAGGAGCCUGUCCCCGGGAUUGGAAGUCCGGGGCGAAAGGGACUGAAAUUAGAGUAGGGAAGCAGGCAAGUAUGGUGGCGAGAAAAGGUAUAUGUAUAGUUCAGGCGCCCGUACCGCAAACCGACACAGGUAGAUGAGGAGAGAAUCCUAAGGCCAACGGGAGAAGGGUUGUUAAGGAACUCGGCAUAUUGACCCCGUAACUUCGGAAGAAGGGGUGCUCCGCAAGGAGGCCGCAGUGAAAAGGCCCAGGCGACUGUUUAUCAAAAACACAGGUCUCUGCAAAACCGAAAGGUGAAGUAUAGGGGCUGACGCCUGCCCGGUGCUGGAAGGUCAAGGGGACUGCUUAGCGCAAGCGAAGGCAUGAACUUAAGCCCCAGUAAACGGCGGCCGUAACUAUAACGGUCCUAAGGUAGCGAAAUUCCUUGUCAGGUAAGUUCUGACCCGCACGAAAGGCGUAACGAUCUGGGCACUGUCUCAACAGCCCGCCCGGCGAAAUUGUAGUACCGGUGAAGAUGCCGGUUACCCGCGACUAGACGGAAAGACCCCAUGGAGCUUUACUGUAGCUUGAUACUGAGAUUCGGUGAAUUAUGCACAGGAUAGGUGGGAGACUGUGAAACAGGUGCUUCGGCGCUUGCGGAGUCGCUGUUGGGAUACCACUCUUGAUUCACUGGAUUUCUAACCUGCGGCCGUGAAUCCGGCCGGGGGACAAUGUCAGGUGGGCAGUUUGACUGGGGCGGUCGCCUCCAAAAGAGUAACGGAGGCGUUCAAAGGUCGGCUCAGCGCGGACGGAAAUCGCGCAUAGAGUGUAAACGCAUAAGCCGGCCUAACUGCGAGACAGACAAGUCGAGCAGUAACGAAAGUUGGAGUUAGUGAUCAGGUGGUAGUGAAUGGAAAUGCCAUCGCUUAACGGAUAAAAGCUACCCUGGGGAUAACAGGCUGAUCUCCCCCAAGAGUUCACAUCGACGGGGAGGUUUGGCACCUCGAUGUCGGCUCAUCACAUCCUGGGGCUUGGAGAAGGUCCCAAGGGUUCGGCUGUCCGCCGAUUAAAGUGGUACGCGAGCUGGGUUCAGAACGUCGUGAGACAGUUCGGUCCCUAUCUGUCGUGGGCGUUGGAUAUUUGAGAGGGGCUGACCUUAGUACGAGAGGACCGGGUCGGACGCACCUCCGGUGCACCAGUUGUUCCGCCAGGGGCAUAGCUGGGUAGCCGCGUGCGGGAGUGAUAAACGCUGAAGGCAUCUAAGCGUGAAACAUGCUUCAAGAUUAGAUAUCCCACAACUUCAAGUUGGUAAGGUCACUUGCAGACUACAAGUUUGAUAGGUCAGAGGUGGAAGCGCAGUAAUGCGUGCAGCUGACUGAUACUAAUAGACCGAGGGCUUGAACC